CGCGGUAUGUUGCCGUAAGGUAUUACCGUGAGGAAAGUCCGGGCUUCACAGGACAGGAUAGCUGAUAACGUCAGCCGCGGGUAACCGCCGGGAAAGUGCAACAGAAAGAAACCGCCGCAUUUUGCGGUAAGGAUGGAAAGGCGAGGUAAAAGCUCACCCGUUCUCAUGGUAACAUGAGUCCGCUGUAAACCCUAUCCGA
This 199-nucleotide RNase P RNA is filed under the name Clostridiales bacterium. Its description in RNAcentral is "RNase P RNA component class A". It matches the Rfam family "Bacterial RNase P class A", at positions 20 to 220 of the family's 367-position model. Rfam says of the family: Ribonuclease P (RNase P) is a ubiquitous endoribonuclease, found in archaea, bacteria and eukarya as well as chloroplasts and mitochondria. Its best characterised activity is the generation of mature 5'-ends of tRNAs by cleaving the 5'-leader elements of precursor-tRNAs. Lineage: Bacteria; Bacillati; Bacillota; Clostridia; Eubacteriales. The record is from RNAcentral.